RNAcentral lists this ribosomal RNA (235 nucleotides) under uncultured bacterium. RNAcentral's name for it is "partial 16S ribosomal RNA". It matches the Rfam family "Bacterial small subunit ribosomal RNA", at positions 14 to 239 of the family's 1533-position model. The record is from RNAcentral.
UGAUCCUGGCUCAGGAUGAACGCUAGCUACAGGCUUAACACAUGCAAGUCGAGGGGGCGAGCAUGGUCUUAGCUUGCUAAGGCCGAUGGCGACCGGCGCACGGGUGAGUAACGCGUAUCCAACCUGCCUUACACUCUUGGACAGCCUUCUGAAGGGAGAUUAAUACAAGAUGUUAUCAUGAGUAAGCAUUUUCACAUGAUUAAAGGUUUACCGGUGUAAGAUGGGGAUGCGUUCC